Lupinus albus (white lupine) is the source of this 331-nucleotide non-coding RNA. NCBI's taxonomy places the organism in Eukaryota, Viridiplantae, Streptophyta, Magnoliopsida, Fabales, Fabaceae. The record is from the annotation of a GenBank genome assembly.
GUAAUCGAUUACGAGUAUAUUGUAAUCGAUUACAUCAUGUAAAAUGCACAGGUCUGAUUAGUUUAUCAGCAUGUAAUCGAUUACCAGGAUUGUGUAAUCGAUUACACUGUUUAAAAAACAGCAAAAACUAAUGCUUUUCAUAUGUUGUAAUCGAUUACGAGUAUAUCGUAAUCGAUUACAUCAUGUAAAAUGCACAGGUAAGAAAAGCCAAAUGAGAGGGAAGAAAAUGAGUAGACAAUGGCCCGAACCCGAACGGGUAAGCCCGGCCCGAGCCCGAAUUUAUUGUGGCCCGGCCGGGCCGGGCUAAAAAGCCCGGUUUAACUAAAAUACU